Molecule: ribosomal RNA, 217 nt
Filed under: uncultured bacterium
Lineage: Bacteria
Description: partial 16S ribosomal RNA
Rfam family: Bacterial small subunit ribosomal RNA
Source: RNAcentral
CGUCUCAGUUCGGACUGUGGUCUGCAACCCGACCACACGAAGCUGGAAUCGCUAGUAAUCGCGAAUCAGAAUGUCGCGGUGAAUACGUUCCCGGGUCUUGUACACACCGCCCGUCACACCAUGGGAGUCAGCAACGCCCGAAGUCAGUGACCUAACCGAAAGGGAGGAGCUGCCGAAGGCGGGGCCGGUAACUGGGGUGAAGUCGUAACAAGGUAUC